Molecule: ribosomal RNA, 500 nt
Filed under: uncultured bacterium
Lineage: Bacteria
Description: partial 16S ribosomal RNA
Rfam family: Bacterial small subunit ribosomal RNA
Source: RNAcentral
AUUGAACGCUGGCGGAAUGCUUUACACAUGCAAGCCGAACGGCAGCACGGACUUCGGUCUGGUGGCGAGUGGCGAACGGGUGAGUAAUGUAUCGGAACGUGCCCAGUCGUGGGGGAUAACGUAGUGAAAAUUACGCUAAUAACGCAUACGAUCUAUGGAUGAAAGCGGGGGAUCGCAAGACCUCGCGCGAUUGGAGCGGCGGAUAUCAGAUUAGGUAGUUGGUGGGGUAAAGGCCCACCAAGCCAACGAUCUGUAGCUGGUCUGAGAGGACGACCAGCCACACUGGAACUGAGACACGGUCCAGACUCCUACGGGAGGCAGCAGUGGGGAAUUUUGGACAAUGGGCGAAAGCCUGAUCCAGCCAUUCCGCGUGCAGGAUGAAGGCCCUCGGGUUGUAAACUGCUUUUGUACAGAACGAAAAGGUUUCUACUAAUACUAGGAGCUCAUGACGGUACUGUAAGAAUAAGCACCGGCUAACUACGUGCCAGCCGCCGCGGUAA